Molecule: unclassified non-coding RNA, 254 nt
Filed under: uncultured Euzebyales bacterium
Lineage: Bacteria; Bacillati; Actinomycetota; Nitriliruptoria; Euzebyales
Description: contains 16S-23S intergenic spacer region
Rfam family: Bacterial small subunit ribosomal RNA
Source: RNAcentral
UACGUAGGGUCCAAGCGUUGUCCGGAAUUAUUGGGCGUAAAGAGCUCGUAGGCGGUCCGCUAAGUCGGAUGUGAAAUCUCACGGCUCAACCGUGAAACUGCAUCCGAUACUGGCGGACUUGAGGCAGGUAGGGGAAGGUGGAAUUCCUGGUGUAGCGGUGAAAUGCGCAGAUAUCAGGAGGAACACCAGUGGCGAAGGCGGCCUUCUGGGCCUGUAACUGACGCUGAGGCGCGAAAGCGUGGGGAGCAAACAGG